GGGAGUGUGGAAACCCUCCAGUGUAUUGGAUAUUUAAAAAAUUACCAUACUUAUGAAAACUACGGUUAUUAAAGCAUACGUUAAAUCCUUAAUCACACAAAUUAAAAAAUUAAAAUUAAUCUUAAUUAAAAAAACCUUAAUCUAAUUCCAUUGCGACCUCUUUUCCUUCCCUCUCUAUAUAUCUUUUCUUCUCUUGUUUUACAGCUAAACCGAAACCCAAGCUGAAGUGGCAAGGCCAAGAAAAUCCGAAAACAAGAAAACAAAUUUGCCGACCCUUUUUCCCUCUCUCUUUCUCGCCGGAGCAUAGAACGAAACGGAGAGAUAAAUUUCUUUGCAGCGAUCCGGCUUUUAUCUUGGAUGGCUACCUCCCAUUUCGUAGUGUUUUAUAGUGUCUUGGUUUGAGAGAAGCCGGAAAGUGAAAAAGAUGCGGAAGCGGAGAUGGAGGGCGGUGCUGGUUUUGCGGAAGUUUCUAACGUGUGCUAUAUGCGUAAUAACGAUGACGGCUUUGCUCUCUGUACAUGUGCAGGUAUUCUCUUCCUCCAGAGCUCCUGACUUACCUGAUCCGUACAAGCUCCCCACUACUACCACUCAGCAGCUUGAUGUCAAUAAAUACUCAAGAUUGGGCAUUGAGCAAGAACAAAGCUGGAGCAGAGAGCAAACUCCACCCCAUUUGUCCAAACCACCUCUUCCUUCUCACAAGGUCUUUAUAUCCUUCUGCUUUUUCGUCUUUCAGUUGAUUUCCUUGUAAAGCGUAGAAAAUUUUCUUUUUUAAUGAUUAAGGAAACCAAGGCAAUGCUAAUAACAAAGGAUAAAUUUCUACUUCUUAUUGCCGUUUUCUUAUUACUGCCAUUUUAUUGCAUAGUUGUGGAGACCUGUGGAUAGAGUCUCAUAGAUUUAGGUUUAUGUUUUGAUACAAAGCAGUCAUGCAUCUUUCAUGUUUUCACUCCUUUAGACUUGACAGUUGGAUGGUGCUAGGGGGAAUUUGGAUUCCAAGCUAUGGAAGCCUCCAGCAAAUCGUGAUUAUUGGCCAUGUGUAGAGCCUGGUCCUAACUAUACAUCACCUGGGGAGUCAGAAGGUUACCUUCUAGUUCAUACAAAUGGUGGGCUCAACCAGAUGCGAGCUGGGGUCUGCAUUUAUUUUCUUUUCACGUGAAAUUAUAUAUUGAUACUUGUUACUAUCCUUGCCAGCUGCAGAUUUAUUAAGCCAAAAAAAUUUCUAGUUGUUUAAAUCUUCUAGAGUGAUAAUUGUUGGGUCUGUUUAAAUUUGUAAUUCAUCUUAUGUUCUUUUAAGAUAAAGAAGCUGUUAUUAUGGUUCUAUGUUGCCUUUAGUGAGUCUCAUGCAGCAUCCUUCAUCAUUAAGAGAAUCUUUCCUCAGUUAUCGUACCCAUCGCAAUACUGAUUCAAGUCUUAUGCUUUUGUCUGAUUUGUUUUGGUUCAUUUUAUCUUUUAAUAUUAAUGUGAAAAUGAAAAUUUUAAUUUAUUAAUGUCUAUUUGGAUGUUUUGAUUGAUUAUUAGUUAACGAAAUUAUAUAAUAUUCUGUUAUUUCUAUUUGAGCAUUAGAGCAGUGUCAUUGUUGAAUUGCAGAUUUGUGAUAUGGUAGCUGUUGCCCGAAUAAUAAAUGCCACUCUUGUUGUUCCUGAAUUGGACAAAAGGUCAUUUUGGCAAGACACCAGCAACUUUUCGGAUGUUUUUGAUGAAGAUCAUUUUAUCAAUGCUCUAGCCAGUGAUGUAAAAGUCAUAAAAAGGCUGCCUAAGGAAAUGUCUAGUGUUUCUAAAAUAGUUAAGCAUUUUAGAAGCUGGUCUGGUAUGGACUACUACGAAGGGGAGAUAGCAAGCAUGUGGGAAGAUUAUCAGGUUAUUCGAGCUGCCAAGUCUGACUCUCGCCUGGCAAACAACAAUCUCCCUCCAGAUAUUCAGAAGCUGCGUUGCCGUGCUUGUUAUCAAGCCCUCCGUUUUGCACCUCGAAUUGAAGAGAUGGGAAAAAUGUUGGUGGAGCGGAUGAGGUUAUAUGGUCCAUACAUUGCUUUACAUUUGCGAUAUGAAAAGGACAUGCUUGCCUUUAGUGGAUGUACACAUGGUUUAUCUAGUGCUGAAGCUGAUGAAUUGAAGAAGAUCAGAGAAGAAACUGCAUACUGGAAAGUAAAGCAGAUUGAUUCUAGGGAGCAGAGAUCCAAAGGUUAUUGCCCUCUAAUUCCAAAAGAGGUUGCUAUGUUUCUCACUGCACUGGGAUACCCCUCAAACACCCCAAUAUACAUUGCCGCAGGAGAGAUAUAUGGAGGUGAUUCUCACAUGGUCGACCUGCAAUCCCGCUAUCCCAUUUUAAUGAGCAAGGAAAAAUUGGCUUCUGUUGAGGAGCUUGAACCAUUUACUAAUCAUGCAUCUCAAAUGGCUGCGCUCGACUAUAUUGUUUCCAUUGAAAGUGAUGUGUUUAUUCCAUCAUACUCUGGAAACAUGGCAAGGGCAGUGGAAGGUCACCGUCGUUUUCUGGGACAUAGAAAAACAAUUUCUCCUGAUAGGAAACAACUUGUUCGUUUGUUUGACAAAAUUGAACGGGGAAAACUGAAAGAAGGUGAAAGUUUAUCAAAGAAUAUCAUUGAAAUCCACAAAAGACGGCAAGGAUCACCAAGGAGGAGAAAAGGUCCCAUCUCAGGAACAAAGGGCAUGGAUAGGUUUCGUUCUGAAGAAGCCUUUUAUGUAAAUCCCUUGCCUGAUUGUUUGUGUCAGAGGCAUUCACCGAAUCUGAACAUCUCUCUCGUGAUCAAAUAGUUUGGGUGCGGAAGAAUAAUUCCCUUUGGGAAAAAGUCCCUGUGAUGGCAGGAUACUGACAGUUUGACGAGUCAGCAUCUGUAGAAGCUUUUACAAACUGGUUGUGCCAUUAAGAGUUAGGGAUGCAGAUUCUGUAACCUUGAGUUUAGAUGAAGGGAUGAAAUAUUGGAGAUUUAGAUGAAAGAUUAUUUGCAGAAUGCAGUUGGCUGCAAGGAGGAAUGGGGAAUACCUGUAAACAGGACUUGCUUCUAUCAAGGAAUAUUGCAAGUGCUUGGACAUUACUGGCAAAAAUUUCAUUUACUGGCGUUUGGGAUUUCAUUGGGGAUGCGAUGCUUGUGUUACUGCUAAUCUCAGAAAUGAUGUUUCUUCUUUUUCCCCACUUUAUUUUUUUUAAUUCUUUUUUGAUGUAUCUAUUCUAUUGAUGGUCAUUCAAUGCAAUAAAAUGAAAAAAUUACUUGCCUUUCCUCCUCGCAUAAAAAUGUAGGGGAAUCUGCCCUGGACUUAAAUGAUCAAGAAUUUCUGUUCCUGUUGCUGCAUUGUAUCUUUAAUACGGUAUGAGAAUCAGCAAGCUAGCUAAUAGUUAGGUAGUUUAUUCAAGAAAUUUGAGAUUGAAUUUCACUUCAACUCAAAAUGUAUAACCUACCCUUUGAAAAAGGGAAAUAAGAAGCUUGCUAAUGUUAUUAAAAAAGAGUUGAGAUAGUGUGUGUUUGGAGGCGUUGCAAACCUUUCCACGAUAUGGCAUGGAUAUACGAUCAGAAUUCUCACCAGAACGGAUUAAUCAAUCGGGAUUAUUAUCCAUUUCCA
RNAcentral lists this unclassified non-coding RNA (3570 nucleotides) under Hevea brasiliensis (rubber tree). The record is from RNAcentral. Lineage: Eukaryota; Viridiplantae; Streptophyta; Magnoliopsida; Malpighiales; Euphorbiaceae.